Molecule: ribosomal RNA, 495 nt
Filed under: uncultured bacterium
Lineage: Bacteria
Description: partial 16S ribosomal RNA
Rfam family: Bacterial small subunit ribosomal RNA
Source: RNAcentral
GAUGAACGCUGGCGGCGUGCCUAAUACAUGCAAGUAGAACGCUGAAGGAGGAGCUUGCUCUUCUGGAUGAGUUGCGAACGGGUGAGUAACGCGUAGGUAUCCUGCCUGGUAGCGGGGGAUAACUAUUGGAAACGAUAGCUAAUACCGCAUGACAACAGUUAUUGCAUGAUAACUGUUUAAAAGGGGCAACUGCUCCACUACCAGAUGGACCUGCGUUGUAUUAGCUAGUUGGUGAGGUAACGGCUCACCAAGGCGACGAUACAUAGCCGACCUGAGAGGGUGAUCGGCCACACUGGGACUGAGACACGGCCCAGACUCCUACGGGAGGCAGCAGUAGGGAAUCUUCGGCAAUGGACGGAAGUCUGACCGAGCAACGCCGCGUGAGUGAAGAAGGUUUUCGGAUCGUAAAGCUCUGUUGUAAGAGAAGAACGAGUGUGAGAGUGGAAAGUUCACACUGUGACGGUAUCUUACCAGAAAGGGACGGCUAACUACGUG